GACGAACGCUGGCGGUGUGCUUAACACAUGCAAGUCGAACGGUAAGGCCCUUUCGGGGGUACACGAGUGGCGCACGGGUGAGUAACACGUGAGUAACCUGCCCUCAUCUCUGGGAUAACAGUCGGAAACGGUUGCUAAUACUGGAUAUGAGCCUGCAAGGCAUCUUGUGGGUUGGAAAGAUUUUUUUGGUUGGGGAUGGACUCGCGGCCUAUCAGCUUGUUGGUGAGGUAGUGGCUCACCAAGGCUUCGACGGGUAGCCGGCCUGAGAGGGCGACCGGCCACAUUGGGACUGAGAUACGGCCCAAACUCCUACGGGAGGCAGCAGUGGGGAAUAUUGCACAAUGGACGGAAGUCUGAUGCAGCAACGCCGCGUGCGGGAUGACGGCCUUCGGGUUGUAAACCGCUUUCAAUUGUGACGAAGCUUUUUGUGACGGUAGCAGUAGAAGAAGCACCGGCUAACUACGUG
RNAcentral lists this ribosomal RNA (466 nucleotides) under uncultured bacterium. RNAcentral's name for it is "partial 16S ribosomal RNA". It matches the Rfam family "Bacterial small subunit ribosomal RNA", at positions 28 to 507 of the family's 1533-position model. The record is from RNAcentral.